GACGAACGCUGGCGGCGUGCCUAAUACAUGCAAGUCGAGCGGACCAAAGGGAGCUUGCUCCUGGAGGUUAGCGGCGAACGGGUGAGUAACACGUGGGCAACCUGCCUGUAAGACUGGGAUAACAUCGAGAAAUCGGUGCUAAUACCGGAUAAUAAAAAGAACUGCAUGGUUCUUUUUGAAAGAUGGUUUCGGCUAUCACUUACAGAUGGGCCCGCGGCGCAUUAGCUAGUUGGUGAGGUAACGGCUCACCAAGGCAACGAUGCGUAGCCGACCUGAGAGGGUGAUCGGCCACACUGGGACUGAGACACGGCCCAGACUCCUACGGGAGGCAGCAGUAGGGAAUCUUCCGCAAUGGACGAAAGUCUGACGGAGCAACGCCGCGUGAGUGAUGAAGGUUUUCGGAUCGUAAAACUCUGUUGUUAGGGAAGAACAAGUGCCGUUCGAAAGGGCGGCACCUUGACGGUACCUAACGAGAAAGCCACGGCUAACUACGUGCCAGCAGCCGCGGUAAAGU
Molecule: ribosomal RNA, 514 nt
Filed under: uncultured bacterium
Lineage: Bacteria
Description: bacterial SSU rRNA
Rfam family: Bacterial small subunit ribosomal RNA
Source: RNAcentral